AGGCCUACACAUGCAGUCGAACGGUAGCACAGGGGAGCUUGCUCCCCGGGUGACGAGUGGCGGACGGGUGAGUAAUGUCUGGGGAUCUGCCCGAUGGAGGGGGAUAACCACUGGAAACGGUGGCUAAUACCGCAUAACGUCGCAAGACCAAAGUGGGGGACCUUCGGGCCUCACACCAUCGGAUGAACCCAGAUGGGAUUAGCUAGUAGGUGGGGUAACGGCUCACCUAGGCGACGAUCCCUAGCUGGUCUGAGAGGAUGACCAGCCACACUGGAACUGAGACACGGUCCAGACUCCUACGGGAGGCAGCAGUGGGGAAUAUUGCACAAUGGGCGCAAGCCUGAUGCAGCCAUGCCGCGUGUAUGAAGAAGGCCUUCGGGUUGUAAAGUACUUUCAGCGGGGAGGAAGGGGACGGGGUUAAUAACCUCGUUCAUUGACGUUACCCGCAGAAGAAGCACCGGCUAACUCCGUGCCAGCAGGCGCGGUAAU
RNAcentral lists this ribosomal RNA (489 nucleotides) under uncultured bacterium. Its description in RNAcentral is "bacterial SSU rRNA". It matches the Rfam family "Bacterial small subunit ribosomal RNA", at positions 44 to 524 of the family's 1533-position model. The record is from RNAcentral.